GAGGGUAUAGCUCAGUGGUAGAGUGCAUGCCUACUAUGCAUGAGGUCUUGGGCUCAAUCACCAGUACCUUCA
RNAcentral lists this transfer RNA (72 nucleotides) under Camelus bactrianus (Bactrian camel). It matches the Rfam family "tRNA". From Rfam's summary of the family: Transfer RNA (tRNA) molecules are approximately 80 nucleotides in length. RNAcentral also lists the same sequence under 1 other name. Lineage: Eukaryota; Metazoa; Chordata; Mammalia; Artiodactyla; Camelidae. The record is from Rfam by way of RNAcentral.